CGUGCCUAAUACAUGCAAGUAGAACGCUGAAGAGAGGAGCUUGCUCUUCUUGGAUGAGUUGCGAACGGGUGAGUAACGCGUAGGUAACCUGCCUUGUAACGGGGGAUAACUAUUGGAAACGAUAGCUAAUACCGCAUAACAAUGGAUGACACAUGUCAUUUAUUUGAAAGGGGCAAUUGCUCCACUACAAGAUGGACCUGCGUUGUAUUAGCUAGUAGGUGAGGUAAUGGCUCACCUAAGCAACGAUACAUAGCCGACCUGAGAGGGUGAUCGGCCACACUGGGACUGAGACACGGCCCACACUCCUACGGGAGGCAGCAGUAGGGAAUCUUCGGCAAUGGGGGCAACCCUGACCGAGCAACGCCGCGUGAGUGAAGAAGGUUUUCGGAUCGUAAAGCUCUGUUGUAAGUCAAGAACGGGUGUGAGAGUGGAAAGUUCACACUGUGACGGUAGCUUACCAGAAAGGGACGGCUAACUACGUGCCAGCAGCCGCGGUAAUACGUAGGUCCCGAGCGUUGUCCGGAUUUAUUGGGCGUAAAGCGAGCGCAGGCGGUCUUGAUAAGUCUGAAGUUAAAGGCUGUGGCUCAACCAUAGUUCGCUUUGGAAACUGUCAAACUUGAGUGCAGAAGGGGAGAGUGGAAUUCCAUGUGUAGCGGUGAAAUGCGUAGAUAUAUGGAGGAACACCGGUGGCGAAAGCGGCUCUCUGGUCUGUAACUGACGCUGAGGCUCGAAAGCGUGGGGAGCGAACAGGAUUAGAUACCCUGGUAGUCCACGCCGUAAACGAUGAGUGCUAGGUGUUGGGUCUUUUCCGGGAUUCAGUGCCGCAGCUAACGCAUUAAGCACUCCGCCUGGGGAGUACGACCGCAAGGUUGAAACUCAAAGGAAUUGACGGGGGCCCGCACAAGCGGUGGAGCAUGUGGUUUAAUUCGAAGCAACGCGAAGAACCUUACCAGGUCUUGACAUCCCGAUGCUAUUUCUAGAGAUAGAAAGUUACUUUGGUACAUCGGUGACAGGUGGUGCAUGGUUGUCGUCAGCUCGUGUCGUGAGAUGUUGGGUUAAGUCCCGCAACGAGCGCAACCCCUAUUGUUAGUUGCCAUCAUUCAGUUGGGCACUCUAGCGAGACUGCCGGUAAUAAACCGGAGGAAGGUGGGGAUGACGUCAAAUCAUCAUGCCCCUUAUGACCUGGGCUACACACGUGCUACAAUGGUUGGUACAACGAGUUGCGAGUCGGUGACGGCGAGCUAAUCUCUUAAAGCCAAUCUCAGUUCGGAUUGUAGGCUGCAACUCGCCUACAUGAAGUCGGAAUCGCUAGUAAUCGCGGAUCAGCACGCCGCGGUGAAUACGUUCCCGGGCCUUGUACACACCGCCCGUCACACCACGAGAGUUUGUAACACCCGAAGUCGGUGAGGUAACCUUUUGGAGCCAGCCGCCUAAGGUGGGACAGAUGAUUGGGGUGAAGUC
Molecule: ribosomal RNA, 1461 nt
Filed under: uncultured organism
Description: 16S ribosomal RNA
Rfam family: Bacterial small subunit ribosomal RNA
Source: RNAcentral